GUGCUUCUUUGUUAAACAUUUAUUUAGUUUAUCAUUGUGAUUAAGAUACUUAUGGUCAUUGUAUAUUAUGUCAUUAAUGUUUAUGAUAUUCUCGUAUUCAUGUCUUUCAUUAUUGUGCUAUUGUAAAACUUGUUUGUUGCUUGUCUUUCAUUUUUGCUAUGUGCUUUGCCUAUGCCUUUUUGUGUUUCUUUGUUACAUAUAUUACGUGGCUCUGUACAUCCCUUCAUUGUGUUAUUGUAUUAUGGUAAAUUUGUGUAUUCUUGUCUGUAAUUUGUGAUGACUUGGUCUAUAUGCCUUGUGUGCUCUUUUUACAUAUUUGUUUUUUUUCAGUAAUUCGGAUUGUAACACAUUGUUGACUGCUGUUUUUUGGUUUUACACUUUUACCUAUUAUGUCUAUUUGUUUUGUUCACGCAUCGUUGUCAAUAGAAUGGAAUUUUAUGGGACUGUCAUGCAAGUG
This 457-nucleotide long non-coding RNA is filed under the name Mytilus galloprovincialis (Mediterranean mussel). The record is from RNAcentral. Lineage: Eukaryota; Metazoa; Mollusca; Bivalvia; Mytilida; Mytilidae.